AAGAAAAAGCAGAAGCACCCGCUUCUCGCCUAGGUGAUCAGUGUUGCCGGGCUGACGAGAUGAAAUAAGAACAAAUCUUAUUGUUCAUUAUUGGCGGGGUGCGUAUGCACUCCGCUUUUUUUGCUGGAU
The sequence is a regulatory RNA element, 129 nucleotides long. It matches the Rfam family "Ribosomal protein L20 leader". From Rfam's summary of the family: This family is a putative r-protein leader autoregulatory structure found in B. subtilis and other low-GC Gram-positive bacteria. It is located in the 5' untranslated regions of mRNAs encoding initiation factor 3 followed by ribosomal proteins L35 and L20 (infC-rpmI-rplT). The record is from Rfam.